This 66-nucleotide microRNA precursor is filed under the name Bombyx mori (domestic silkworm). RNAcentral describes it as "mir-2774 microRNA precursor family". It matches the Rfam family "mir-2774 microRNA precursor family". Lineage: Eukaryota; Metazoa; Arthropoda; Insecta; Lepidoptera; Bombycidae. The record is from Rfam by way of RNAcentral.
ACAACAUUCGGAGCGUCGGUCUACCGAGCAAUACCAGCCGCUCAGUGGAAGAUCUCUCUCCGUCGU